Molecule: ribosomal RNA, 465 nt
Filed under: Vreelandella stevensii
Lineage: Bacteria; Pseudomonadati; Pseudomonadota; Gammaproteobacteria; Oceanospirillales; Halomonadaceae
Description: partial 16S ribosomal RNA
Rfam family: Bacterial small subunit ribosomal RNA
Source: RNAcentral
CCUACGGGAGGCAGCAGUGGGGAAUAUUGGACAAUGGGGGGAACCCUGAUCCAGCCAUGCCGCGUGUGUGAAGAAGGCCCUCGGGUUGUAAAGCACUUUCAGUGAGGAAGAACGCCUGGUGGUUAAUACCCAUCAGGAAAGGCAUCACUCACAGAAGAAGCACCGGCUAACUCCGUGCCAGCAGCCGCGGUAAUACGGAGGGUGCGAGCGUUAAUCGGAAUUACUGGGCGUAAAGCGCGCGUAGGUGGCUUGAUAAGCCGGUUGUGAAAGCCCCGGGCUCAACCUGGGAACGGCAUCCGGAACUGUCAAGCUAGAGUGCAGGAGAGGAAGGUAGAAUUCCCGGUGUAGCGGUGAAAUGCGUAGAGAUCGGGAGGAAUACCAGUGGCGAAGGCGGCCUUCUGGACUGACACUGACACUGAGGUGCGAAAGCGUGGGUAGCAAACAGGAUUAGAUACCCCAGUAGUC